Molecule: long non-coding RNA, 1671 nt
Filed under: Marmota monax (woodchuck)
Lineage: Eukaryota; Metazoa; Chordata; Mammalia; Rodentia; Sciuridae
Source: RNAcentral
UUUUUUUUAAAGAGAGAGAAUUUUUUUUUUAAUAUUUAUUUUUUAGUUAUCGGCGGACACAACAUCUUUGUUUGUAUGUGGUGCUGAGGAUUGAACCCGGGCCGCACGCAUGCCAGGCGAGCGCGCUACCGCUUGAGCCACAUCCCCAGCCCCUGUACUUGAUCUUUGUAGAGUGAUUCCUUUGUGUGAGUCAUCUUUGGAGACAAAUAAGAUAGGCUCUCUGCCUUGAGGAUUUCAUUGAAAUGUAAGAUUUACUGAUAAGGAGGCAUAAAUGGGAUUAUAUAGGAUUGGCUACCAAUGAAUGGUCUAUGCAAGUGUUAAAUCAUACAGGGGAGCUGGGUGCGCCACACUUGUAAUCCCAGCAGUUUGGGAGGCUGAGACAGGAGGAUUGCAAGUUUAAAGCCAGCCUUAGCAAAAACAAGGCUCUAAGUAACUCAGUGAGACCCUGUCUCUAAAUAAAAUACAAAAUAGGGCUGGGGAUGUGACUCAGUGGUCGAGUGCCCCUGAGUUCAAUCCCCCCCCAAAAAAUGUAAAUCACACAGGGGGAAGAAUGGAGGUGAUGUGCAGUUGCCCCCCACCCCCAGGAGUUUGGAAGGAGGUAGGUAUCCAGUGUUAUGGAGGUCAGGUGGUCUUGGGAAACCAAGAUGUACAAGGAUGGAACAUCAAGGAAGCUGCUUUCUUUGGACACAGCAGGCAACUUUUGUGGGCAGGGGUGGCUUUUACAAAUAGCCUAAGAAAGGCCAUGUUUGUAGGAUGUGCUGGAGAUGGAUGGCCUUUGACCAAGAGGCAGUGGCUAAUGUGGGCUGGAUAAGCUGUGGGUUCAAAGCGUUUGUCAGCCAGCCCCUUUUGGGGCAGCAGGCCUUCAGUGGCCAAGGGCUUUUGUCAGAUUUUUUUCUGACCCCACCCAAGGACUAAUUGCAGCUGGAAUCUACAUGUCUGUUGGUGGCACAUGGAAGGACCCAGUCUUUGGUAUGUAGAAUGCAAGCACGGAGCAUAGCCUUUUCUUCAGGAUGGAAAAGUGAGGCUAGGGAGGCACUGCCACAAGAGCAAAGGCAACAGUGGAUUUUAGCUAGGACAAGUGAGAGACUGGGUCAGCCCUCGAUCCCUUAGCUUUCCGAUUAAAUAAUCAUCUCACCCCUGGCAUCCUAUUGGUGGUCUCGCUCACCAUUCUAUACUUAUUAUCAGAUCUAGUCCCCUCCUUGAUUCUAUCUCUCAGGGUCAAUUACCUUAUUUACAGGAUCGAGAAUUUGACUUUUCUUGGGGCUGGGGUUGUGACUCAGCGGUAGAGAGCUUGCCUAGCACAUGUGAGGCACUGGGUUCUAUUCUCAGCACCACAUAAAAAUAAAAAUUAUUGUGUCCACUUAUAAUUAAAACAAAUAUAUAUAUUUUUUAAUUUUGGCUUUUCUGGUAUUUGAGGGGCCACAAUGAUAAAAUAUUCAGAAUAUCAGGUACAGGGGUGAAUACCUCUAAUACCAGCGACUUGGGAUGCUGGGGGAGGAGGAUUGCAAGUUUGAGGCCAACCUGGGCAAGUCAGCAAGACACUGUUUCAAAAACUGUGCGUGUUGGGUGGAGAGGGGUGUGUUGGGGUAAAGCUCAGUGGUAACAUGCCCUUGGUUUAAUUCCCAGGACUAAUAUGAAUUUUCCACCUGAACAAAAAGUAUCCACUGAAAG